GAUGAAACAAACCCUUCCCUCCAGCAAGUUGCUGCUGGUCAGCGUUUAUCGCAACAGAAGGCAGACUAGAACAGAGGCUCAUGUGGCAGGAUCAUGAAAUAAAAGGCUGCCAGGGCUCCAGAGUGAGUUCAAGUUCAUCCUGGGCGGCGAAACAAGAUCCUGUCUCAAAAGAAAAGGAGAGCUGGGAUUCCGGCCAGUGGUGGUGCGCUUGCCCAGCAUGUGUGAGGCCCCAGUUAAUGAGAAAAGGAGACAUUUCAGAAAGUGAUCCAUGGACUCUGUGAAAGAAAGCGGAUCAGCCAAGCAGGAAAGAUACGUCUUAGAGGGGCUUCUUGUACACUGAAGGAUUUUGGAAGGGAGUCUUGAAGCCAAUCCUGCAGAUCCUUGAGGUCUUCUGUAGUCCCAGAAUUCAGCAUUGUCACUAUAAACAGCUGGCGUGUGAUAAUCCUUACCUAGUUGAACUAAGCUUCACUGAAGAUGAAAACAUUCUUGGGCGUCUGUGUUAUGUGAAGACUGAUCUGCAAUCAAGUUGCUGAAGAAUGCUACCUAGCAAGAGUAACAAUGGCUGACACACCCUUUGUGGGAUAAUUCCCUGAGUAGUAAUGAAUAUGAGGAGAGAUGCGGAACUUAUGGGUGGUAGUUUGUGAGAUCCAUGAAUGCUUUUCAGGAAAGAGCAAUGAACCUCUGAAAGCUACAGUGCUAUUGUUAGAGUUGGAAGAAUAUUAAAGCCUUUAUCCCAAUUC
This is a long non-coding RNA of Mesocricetus auratus (golden hamster), 740 nucleotides long. RefSeq lists it as uncharacterized. The transcript is spliced from 3 exons. The record is from RefSeq and is a predicted model, not a curated record. Lineage: Eukaryota; Metazoa; Chordata; Mammalia; Rodentia; Cricetidae.